RNAcentral lists this ribosomal RNA (301 nucleotides) under uncultured bacterium. Its description in RNAcentral is "partial 16S ribosomal RNA". It matches the Rfam family "Bacterial small subunit ribosomal RNA", at positions 509 to 809 of the family's 1533-position model. The record is from RNAcentral.
CAGUAGCCACGGUAAUACGUAGGUGGCGAGCGUUGUCCGGAUUUAUUGGGCGUAAAGGGAGUGUAGGCGGUCUUUUAAGUCUGAUGUGAAAGCCCACGGCUCAACCGUGGAGGGUCAUUGGAAACUGGGAGACUUGAGUGCAGAAGAGGAGAGCGGAAUUCCAUGUGUAGCGGUGAAAUGCGUAGAUAUAUGGAGGAACACCAGUGGCGAAGGCGGCUCUCUGGUCUGUAACUGACGCUGAGGCUCGAAAGCGUGGGGAGCAAACAGGAUUAGAUACCCGUGUAGUCCCUGUCUCUUAUAA